AGAACGAACGCUGGCGGCAUGCCUAACACAUGCAAGUCGAACGUGAUCCAGGCUUCGGCCUGGUGAAAGUGGCAGACGGGUGAGUAACGCGUGGGAACCUGCCCUGUGGUAGGGAAUAACCGUGGGAAACUGCGGCUAAUACCCUAUGAGUCCUUCGGGAGAAAGAUUUAUCGCCAUAGGAGGGGCCCGCGUCGGAUUAGGUAGUUGGUGGGGUAACGGCCUACCAAGCCUUCGAUCCGUAGCUGGUCUGAGAGGAUGAUCAGCCACACUGGGACUGAGAUACGGCCCAGACUCCUACGGGAGGCAGCAGUGGGGAAUAUUGAACAAUGGGGGCAACCCUGAUCCAGCAAUGCCGCGUGGAUGAUGAAGGCCUUCGGGUUGUAAAGUCCUUUCGGCGGGGAAGAUGAUGACGGUACCGCAGAAGAAGCCCCGGCUAACUUCGCGCCAGCAGCCGC
RNAcentral lists this ribosomal RNA (455 nucleotides) under uncultured bacterium. Its description in RNAcentral is "SSU rRNA". It matches the Rfam family "Bacterial small subunit ribosomal RNA", at positions 26 to 518 of the family's 1533-position model. The record is from RNAcentral.